GCUACGGGUGGCAGCAGUGAGGAAUAUUGGUCAAUGUGCGCGAGCCUGAACCAGCCAAGUAGCGUGAAGGAUGACUGCCCUACGGGUUGUAAACUUCUUUUGUCAGGGAGCAAUUGGGUCCACGCGUGGGCUUAGCGAGAGUACCUGAAGAAAAAGCAUCGGCUAACUCCGUGCCAGCAGCCGCGGUAAUACGGAGGAUGCGAGCGUUAUCCGGAUUUAUUGGGUUUAAAUGGUGCGUAGGCGGAAUAUCAAGUCAGCGGUAAAAAUUCGGGGCUCAACCCCGUCGGGCCGUUGAAACUGAUGUUAUUGAGUGGGCGAGAAGGAUGCGGAAUGCGUGGUGUAGAGGUGAAAUGCAUAGAU
This 360-nucleotide ribosomal RNA is filed under the name uncultured bacterium. RNAcentral describes it as "partial 16S ribosomal RNA". It matches the Rfam family "Bacterial small subunit ribosomal RNA", at positions 338 to 695 of the family's 1533-position model. The record is from RNAcentral.